This is a long non-coding RNA of Liolophura sinensis, 558 nucleotides long. RefSeq lists it as uncharacterized. The record is from RefSeq and is a predicted model, not a curated record. NCBI's taxonomy places the organism in Eukaryota, Metazoa, Mollusca, Polyplacophora, Chitonida, Chitonidae. The transcript is spliced from 3 exons.
GCGUCCUCCAUAGGCUCAACACUGACUGUAGUACUCCCAACAUUAUUUCUGGUGUCGGUGGUAAAUCUACGAGAGGCACGAGCGCAGUUUGUCCCUAUAUGUGGUGUAGCAGGCUACAACUUAGGGAAUUUGACCGCAAGAAUAUGGGAGUUUCACGUAUUGAAUUCCCCGGGCACAUGUUUACAGCCUUCGGCCAACGUAACCGUGGACUCGUGUAGAUUUUUUAUGGCCUUCUGUCGCAAUCUCGACGAGGUGACGUUUAUUAAUUGUUCCGAUGCCAGCGUGUGCCAGGAAAGUUUGCCGGAUACGGCGUCUGUAUUCAAACUGGGUGGUUAUGAACAGAAUCCGUUUAAAGUUGACACCGAGUACAAUUCGCAAGGAUUCAUCGUAGACUUCCCUCAUGGCGGCACGUAUCAAAGAAUAAACGGUACCGCCUGCACGCUGUCAGUCCGCCUCGAUUUCAUAUGUAAAAGCGAUGCAUUCUGGGAAAUUCCACCGUUGGGGACUAUACCGGCUGAAGUGCCUGGCCCCACUCCUGCGUUCUUUAACGAGUCUUCC